This is a non-coding RNA of Paramuricea clavata, 108 nucleotides long. The record is from the annotation of a GenBank genome assembly. NCBI's taxonomy places the organism in Eukaryota, Metazoa, Cnidaria, Anthozoa, Malacalcyonacea, Plexauridae.
AUUGUGAUUGGAUAACUUUUGGAAGAACCUUCCAAAAGUCAACAGAGAACUUUAGCGUUCUUUUAGCGCAAGGAUGACACGCAAAUUCGUGAAGCGUUCCAAAUUUUU